Molecule: long non-coding RNA, 2818 nt
Organism: Phoenix dactylifera (date palm)
Lineage: Eukaryota; Viridiplantae; Streptophyta; Magnoliopsida; Arecales; Arecaceae
Source: RefSeq, a predicted model, not a curated record
CGCAAGGGUUUCACUUAGUCGAACUACUUGAUCUUAUCCGAGCGGAAGGCGGCCGCGUUGCUCCCCUCCCCUCCCCUCCGCCGCGGCCCGAAGCGGAGCGAGAGCUCUCCACGAGCUCGUUGCCCUCGCGGUGAUCGUUCUCCGCGGGCUUUCGGUAGCGUCUCGCUGGUACCCUGCUCGCGCCGUCGUGCCCCGUCGCGAGGGGAGGCGCGGCUCGCCCCGCGAUGACGACUGCCCGCGGUCGGAGCACCCCUUUAGGGCGCGCGAUGACGCACACGCGGGCUCCCCCCUCUCCAACAACAACAACAACAACAAAAAGAAAAAUCUUCAACUCGUUUUCUUUUUUCUUUUUCAGAGAAAAAUUAAUGCACUUUUUUUUCCCCAAACAUUUUCACUUUCCGAUCCCUUUCAACUUCGUUUUCUUUUAAGUGAUUUUAGCUCCGGUUUUGAUUUUUCUCUAGAUCGUGUUUUCUUUCUUUUAAAAUUGGAGGGGCUUGAGCCGAUUUGAUCGAUACCUAGCGAAGAUUUUGUCAUCGUACCGGAUUAUCGAUUCAUUUGUUUAUUUUGUGAAAGAGCGUAAAUUAGAUGACUUGAACUUGAAAACUUCUAACAGUAAUGGAUUUGUUUUUUACUGGCCAAACAUUUGAUUCUGAUGGUGAUUAUUAUAGAUUCUGAUAGCUGACGCAGGUGCAGAUGGAGGUCUGACGAUUGUUGAUCAUGUGUUGUGGAGCGAUUCGAUGUGGUUUAGACGGGCCCAAAGGUAUAUUGGUGUCUUGGAUAUGUUGGUUCUACUAGAAUUGUAUGUUAAUGAUGGAAAAACAUAUGAUACAUUGUUGCAAGUUAUACUUGGCAUUCAGGUAUCCAAUGCAAAAGAAACUUCUCUAAAACGACCUAUAGGUGGAAGAUGUUGCAUUACCAAUGUGAGAUGGAUCCAGAAAAGGGAGGUUCCGGUUAUAAUUCAGAAACGGUUUGUGUAUAUAUUUCACAAAAAUGUGAAAUCAAAGUAGGGGAUAAAGUAACCGGAAGACAUGGGAAUAAUGGUAGCAUUUCAAAAAUUGUGCCAAGACAAGGUAUGCUAUAUUUGCUAGAUGGGAGACCUGUUAAUAUGGUCUUCAACCUAUUAGGAGUACAAGCGUAUGUACAAUGCAUCAUGCUUCCUGGUUCUAGAGAUUUAUGAAAGAAGUAUGCAUAAAACUUGUACGACAGACCCAUAUGUCAAUCAAUUCAUCUGGGUUCUACUAUUGAUCAACUAAAUUACCAAUGAGCCUAUAACUGCUAAAGCACUUCCAUGGUUCCACAAUGGUUUCAGAAGUGAACUACUUGAUGUUAUCUGGACAGUAGGUGGCCACCGUUCAUAAUAGAAUGGAAGGUCUUACACUAAUUCUUCUCCUGGUUGCAUUUCCUCUGUUUUUGGUAGCAUCUUGCUGCUUCAUUGUGCCGCGCCUCAUGCUGGUGUUUCUUCCUAUAGACAGCACACACCACUAUGACAGCUCCCUCCAUCAACUGGAGUAGGUAUUUUGUAAUUCUCACAUGGGCUCCCACACCCAUCUCCUCUUUCUGUCCUCUCAAUCUUGUUAGUCUAAUUUUUGAAAUGGAUUCAAUUUUCCAAUCACCUUUACUGUGAGAAAUUUUCUUUUGUGCAUUGUACCUAUCAAAUUGUAGCAUUUUAAGCAUUUUCUGCCUUGGGCUUGCAGAAAACUCUUACACCAAACUCUGGGCCAACGCUUCAAUCUCUUGGGCAAGUUUCCUCUGCGUAGAGCUCCAAUUAGAUUAUUAUGAAGCUAAUCGUACUCUACUAUCUUUUACGACCAUUUGUGGUUGAAAGUCAUCAAGGUUCCAUAUUGUGUUUUAACCAACCAAACCAGUUCUAUAUAGGUGAGUGGAACCAAUUACCACCAGAGGCGGAAGAUUGUCAGGUAAUUAGGUUUCUUAUGCUAUGAAUUAUUGGCCUUUGGUAGGAGCUGAUGUCAGAACUUAAACGGGCCAGCUUUGAACCCAAUUACCUGAAUGCAAAUUUAUAAAAGGCUCUGGUAUUUGAACCAGGUGCAGAAUAUUGAAAAAAAAUGUUGCUGAAUAUGUGGUCGAAGAGGAGAUGUGGUGAUCAUUCGUAGAUCAUCACGAUAGAUCUGUCUCCUUUUUUUAUCUUAUUAUUUAUCCUUGAGUUCAUUGAUAGACUUGCUCAUUUUCUUGUCAAUUCUUGUGCAGGAGAACGUAAUCUUCAUUCCGAGUGAAGAAAUCUAGGCAUGUGGAAAACAUUGGAUAAUUAGCUGUACCUCAAUUACUGGUUUCUUUUGCUUUAAAUUUGGUUCUUGUCAAUAUUUCUGGCUCUGAGAAGUUCAGGGGAGAGUCUGUACUAAGAGAUGAGUAAUUAUGGCUCAUUCAUGCCCCUCGCUUCUCUCAAGUUCUCUAGCCAAUAUGGGACUAAAUUGUUGUGGCAUUUUCAGUUUCUGCUGAUGGAGAAGAAAUCUAGUGUGGUGUUGUGAUGCAAUUUAGUGGGACACCAACCAACUUUCUGAAUCAUACCCAGUCAUCCAUGUCGACUGGAGUAAGAUUACUGGCGUAAGGUUCUUAUAGUACAUUUAUUUUUGCAAAAAUUUUCAUGAACAAGCACUGGGAUCUAUUGCAUCACGUAAUGCAACUAUCAAGUUGAGGCAGCAUCACUACAAUGUAAAAUUAAGCUACAUCGAUAAAUGAGUGAAAAAGUCAUGCAGGGAUGAGUUAGUUCCAUCGAUAAAUGAUAAUCAGCUACACUACAAUGUAAAAUUAAGCAGUUACAUUUUUCCCCAUAACCAUUUUACCUCAUAUCUAGUAAUAACUA